Molecule: ribosomal RNA, 1221 nt
Filed under: Triticum aestivum (bread wheat)
Lineage: Eukaryota; Viridiplantae; Streptophyta; Magnoliopsida; Poales; Poaceae
Description: partial small subunit ribosomal RNA
Source: RNAcentral
AUGGCCAAGCAGCUGCGGGUCUACCAAGUCUGGAGAGGCAACAACAUAAUCUGGUGUGGUGGGAGAUUGAUCUUUGGACCAGAUGCCAAGGCUACUCUACUAUCUUUCUCGCUGAUCGUGGCCCCUGUUGUUGUCUUCUGCAUCUUUGUGGGCAAAAACCUCAUACACAUCUUUCCUGCAUAUAACGCAGGGUAUGCAAUUCUGGUUGUUACCGUAGCCCUGACAAUUCAUGUACUGUUACUGCUCUUCUUGACCUCAUCUCAAGAUCCAGGUAUUGUACCAAGGAAUUCAAAUCCACCUGUGGAGGAGUUUUCUCAUGAUUCUUCAGCUCCUCAUACUCUCCAGUUCCCUCGGAUAAAAGAGAUCAUGAUCAAUGGUGUGCCCGUGAGAGUAAAAUAUUGUGAAACUUGCAUGCUAUAUCGGCCUCCUCGUUGCUCCCACUGUUCCAAAUGUGAUAAUUGUGUCGAGCGAUUUGAUCACCACUGCCCUUGGGUUGGUCAAUGUAUUGGACAGCGCAAUUACCGCUACUUCUUCUGGUUUGUUUGUUCGGCAGCAAUCCUGUGUUUCUAUGUAUUUACAAUGUCUGCAUUGUACAUCAGUCUACUCAUGAAGGAUCACCGUUCAGUGGUGGAGGCAAUUAAAGCCUCUCCAGCAUCAGUGGCAGUCAUGGGAUACUGUUUCAUUUGUUUCUGGUUUGUUGGUGGUCUCACCGGAUUCCACUCUUACCUCAUUGCAACAAAUAAGACAACAUAUGAGAAUAUCAAGUACAAGUACAGCAACCAACCCAAUGCGUUUGACCGUGGUUGCAUACACAAUUGCUUCGAGGUCCUGUGCACGAAAAGGAAGCCUUCUAGGAUCAACCUGCGAGCCAUCGUUCAAGAGGAACAUGUUGCGUCCCUGCCACGAAUCAGCCGUUCCAGUGUGCCCGAAGAUGAGACGCCCCACCGUCCACGAGCCAAAGUGGAGGAUGACCUUGAGAUGGGCCUUGACAUCCUGAAGACCUCACGGCGCCGGUCAGAUGAACUGAGUGACUUAGAGUUGGGCACUGCAAGCAAUGGUGCAAGAUAUCGCAGAAGUGAUUCAGACACUGAGAUCCCGGUUAUGACCAGAACAAUUACUGAGAGCUCCGAUCAAACUAGGGAUCUGGACUUCUAUUCAGUGACCAACGCUGCACAUCCCUCGUCUCCUGAGCAGAGGCAGCUCCCCGAUGAACUCCGCUGA